RNAcentral lists this ribosomal RNA (301 nucleotides) under uncultured bacterium. RNAcentral's name for it is "partial 16S ribosomal RNA". It matches the Rfam family "Bacterial small subunit ribosomal RNA", at positions 509 to 807 of the family's 1533-position model. The record is from RNAcentral.
CAGCAGCCGCGGGAAAACGAAGGGGGCUAGCGUUACUCGGAAUUACUGGGCGUAAAGGGCGCGUAGGCGGCAUAGUCAGUCAGGCGUGAAAUUCCCGGGCUUAACCUGGGGGCUGCGCUUGAUACGGCUAAGCUAGAGGACGGAAGAGGGUCGUGGAAUUCCCAGUGUAGAGGUGAAAUUCGUAGAUAUUGGGAAGAACACCGGUGGCGAAGGCGGCGACCUGGUCCGUUACUGACGCUGAGGCGCGAAAGCGUGGGGAGCAAACAGGAUUAGAUACCCCCGUAGUCCCUGUCUCUUAUAC